UGAGCACCUAUUGUGUGCAGUGCACUGCGGGAAUAUGAGGAAGUAGCAGCACAGAAAGGGCACUGAGCUCCAACACCAAUGGAUCUGGAUUCUAAUUCCAGGUGUGCCACUGACUAAUUUUGUCAGCUUGGGCAAGGCAGCCGCCUGGCCUCAGUUUCUUCUCUGCAAAAUAGUUGAGCAGAGCGUGACCAACCGUCCCAGGGUGCCUGGGAUUCCCAGUUUUGGCACAGAAAGAUCUGUGUUCCCAGAAACCUCUCAGUACCAGAAAAGGAUCCUCGGAUGACAAAUCGAGAGGGAAGAAAGCGGCGCUCAAGGUCUUGAGUGGAUUUACCACACUGUCGGUGAUUUAGCCUGUUCGGUCUGAAACUCUUGCUGUAAAGUGCUGUUCCCAGCG
Molecule: long non-coding RNA, 394 nt
Filed under: Equus caballus (horse)
Lineage: Eukaryota; Metazoa; Chordata; Mammalia; Perissodactyla; Equidae
Description: lncRNA (ENSECAG00000055685.1)
Source: RNAcentral